UAGCUCAGUUGGUAGAGUGCUUGCCUCGCAUGCACAAGGCCCUGGGUUCAAAUCCCAG
This 58-nucleotide transfer RNA is filed under the name Ictidomys tridecemlineatus (thirteen-lined ground squirrel). RNAcentral describes it as "Spermophilus tridecemlineatus (thirteen-lined ground squirrel) tRNA". It matches the Rfam family "tRNA", at positions 8 to 63 of the family's 71-position model. Rfam says of the family: Transfer RNA (tRNA) molecules are approximately 80 nucleotides in length. Their secondary structure includes four short double-helical elements and three loops (D, anti-codon, and T loops). Further hydrogen bonds mediate the characteristic L-shaped molecular structure. tRNAs have two regions of fundamental functional importance: the anti-codon, which is responsible for specific mRNA codon recognition, and the 3' end, to which the tRNAs corresponding amino acid is attached (by aminoacyl-tRNA synthetases). tRNAs cope with the degeneracy of the genetic code in two manners: having more than one tRNA (with a specific anti-codon) for a particular amino acid; and 'wobble' base-pairing, i.e. permitting non-standard base-pairing at the 3rd anti-codon position. The record is from Rfam by way of RNAcentral. Lineage: Eukaryota; Metazoa; Chordata; Mammalia; Rodentia; Sciuridae.